Molecule: transfer RNA, 69 nt
Filed under: Acreichthys tomentosus
Lineage: Eukaryota; Metazoa; Chordata; Actinopteri; Tetraodontiformes; Monacanthidae
Also listed under: 2 other names
Description: tRNA-Ala
Rfam family: tRNA
About the family: Transfer RNA (tRNA) molecules are approximately 80 nucleotides in length. Their secondary structure includes four short double-helical elements and three loops (D, anti-codon, and T loops).
Source: RNAcentral
AAGGCUUUAGCUUAAUUAAAGUACCUGUUUUGCAUACAGGAGAUGUGGGGUAGUAUCCCGCAAGUCUUA